This is a long non-coding RNA of Sinocyclocheilus anshuiensis, 670 nucleotides long. RefSeq lists it as uncharacterized. The transcript is spliced from 3 exons. NCBI's taxonomy places the organism in Eukaryota, Metazoa, Chordata, Actinopteri, Cypriniformes, Cyprinidae. The record is from RefSeq and is a predicted model, not a curated record.
GAUUUCAUAAUUACAAAAUUGUAAUUCAUUUUUACUAUUUUCAAUGAUCAGUUUUGUAUUUAUGCCUUGCAUAACUCUACAUAUGUUCAUGUAAAAUAAACCAUGCUUAAUGUAGUGUUGUUUCAUGCUUAUAUAAAAAUCAGGCCUUGAAGCAAUAUUUCACCCAAAAAUGGAAAUUUCAUAGAAAUACAUCCAAGAUGUAGAUGAGUUUGUUUCAUCAUCAGAACAGUUUUGUAGAAAUUGAGCAUAACAUCACUUGCUUACAAGUGGAUCCUCUGCAGUGAAUGGGUGCCGUCAGAAUGAGAGUCCAAACAGCUGAUAAAAACAUCACAAUAAUCCACACCACUCCAGUCCAACUGGCAUCUUAUGAAACGAAAAGCUGCGUAUUUGUAAUAAAUCCAUCAAGACGUUUUCAACUUAAAACUGAAAAAUUUUACCUGCUGGUUAAAAUACUAGUCCUCUAGCAUCCGCAAUAAGUUAACAAGUGAAAACAGUAAAAAAAAUAUAAAAUAUGUCAGUGGAUUUUGAUGUGAGGACAACAGGGGAUGGACGUUUUCAAUGGAAGAAGCGUUAUGGACUCUUUUCCUUUACACUCCACAAGACAUUAAUGAGUCGUGUGAAUUACUUGGAUUAUUGUGAUGUUUUUAUCAGCUGUUUGGACUCUCAUUCU